Molecule: ribosomal RNA, 989 nt
Filed under: human gut metagenome
Description: bacterial LSU rRNA
Rfam family: Bacterial large subunit ribosomal RNA
Source: RNAcentral
AACUAUAACGGUCCUAAGGUAGCGAAAUUCCUUGUCAGGUAAGUUCUGACCCGCACGAAUGGCGUAAUGAUUUGGGCACUGUCUCAACAGCCCGCCCGGCGAAAUUGUAGUACUGGUGAAGAUGCCAGUUACCCGCAACUAGACGGAAAGACCCCAUGGAGCUUUACUGCAGCUUAAUACUGAAAUUCGGUAGUACAUGUACAGGAUAGGUGGGAGACUGAGAAAUACAGGCGUCAGCUUGUAUGGAGUCGCUGUUGGGAUACCACUCUUGUACUGCUGGGUUUCUAACCUGCGGCCGUGAAUCCGGUCGGGGGACACUGUUAGGCGGGCAGUUUGACUGGGGCGGUCGCCUCCCAAAAGGUAACGGAGGCGCUCAAAGGUUCGUUCAGCACGGACGGAAAUCGUGCAAUGAGUGUAAACGCAUAAACGAGCCUAACUGCGACACCGACGGGUGGAGCAGUAACGAAAGUUGGAGUUAGUGAUCCGGUGGUAUGUGAGUGGAAAUGCCAUCGCUCAACGGAUAAAAGCUACCCUGGGGAUAACAGGCUGAUCUCCCCCAAGCGUCCACAGCGACGGGGAGGUUUGGCACCUCGAUGUCGGCUCGUCGCAUCCUGGGGCUGAAUUCGGUCCCAAGGGUUUGGCUGUUCGCCAAUUAAAGCGGCACGCGAGCUGGGUUCAGAACGUCGUGAGACAGUUCGGUCCCUAUCUGUUGCGGGCGUAAGAGAUUUGAAGGGAGCUGUCCUUAGUACGAGAGGACCGGGAUGGACGUACCUCUGGUGCACCAGUUGUCCUGCCAAGGGCAUAGCUGGGUAGCUAUGUACGGACGAGAUAAACGCUGAAAGCAUCUAAGCGUGAAACUCCCCCUAAGAUGAGAUCUCUCAUCCUUCAAGGAGUAAGGACCCAGAAAGACGAUCUGGUUGAUAGGCCGAAGGUGGAAGCGCAGUAAUGUGUGGAGCUGAUCGGUACUAAUAGUCCGAGGGCUUGACCUA